CUGAAACCCUCAAUCCAGAGAAGAGUGGACUCCUACUGCUGCCCCACACUGUAAUGUCUUCAUUCUGCUAUCAAACAUCAUUAAGGGCAAUGGUAACAUCAUCGGUCUCAGCAGCAGCAUUAGAUUAACACAGUGAUUGGCAACCUACAAAUGCCAGGCACUUGGAAGCAGCAUACCACAUCUUCAGUUUACAUCUUUUCCAUACUCUGCUCUUUGUAGGAUCUUGCAGAAGUCAGGACGGACCCACCAAAAAUCCAGACAGGGUGGCAGACAAAGCUACAAUGGAUUUCUGCUUAUUGCUCUGUUCAGUAUAUCAGUAUCAAUAGAUAUUGGAUUAACGAGGAGGAGCUGAAUAAAUGGAAACAUGCAAGCAAUCUUUAUAUGUAUUGGUUUCGAGCAGCUGCAUCUUGUGAAGACAAGGUAUUUCACCAGAAAUUAAGGGUAAUGAUUUUCCAGUAACACCUGACAUAAACGCUAGCUUACUUUGCUAAUAAUUUUUUUACUGUUUCUUUUUGAAGUUUUGUCAUGCUUUGCAAACAAGACAUAACAACUAAGGUCAUUGUUAUAUCAUCUGAAGAUUAGUACAUUUUACACCUAACUGAAGUUAGGUGUAACUUCAACGUGAAAACAUGAAUGGGAAGAGUUACAGUUACAUUUGUUAAGUUAACAACUGCAUUUAUAAUAACCAGAAAUGAACUUGACUCAUCAGCCUUGCCAAGUAUUUAUUAGCAGCCCCUAAUCAUCAAGUGAAAGUUUAAUAAUCCAGCUUCUGCAGGGUAGAUUAAUAUGGUAGAUUCUACACAACAAAAUGUUUGAUCGGGUCAAGAUAUACAGAAAAGGGUUUGGAAUCCAAACUGUUUGGUGCCCAACUGGAGACGAUUGCUUUACUUACAAAAGUGCUGAAUUAUAAUACUCAGUUCUCAUAUGGCACUUUUCGUUUGUGGCCCUCAAAGUAGUUUAUACAAAACUAGCAUCAUCACUUUGCAGCUGGGAAAAUGAAACUGAACAAGUUGCCCAAAGACCCACAAUAUUUCAUUGGCAAAGCUAAAAACAGAGCCCAGGGCUUUUGACUCCAAGUGCAGUGUUGCAGUCAAUGGGUUAUAGCAAAAAUAUUUACAAAAA
Molecule: long non-coding RNA, 1122 nt
Filed under: Crocodylus porosus (Australian saltwater crocodile)
Lineage: Eukaryota; Metazoa; Chordata; Crocodylia; Crocodylidae
Description: lncRNA (ENSCPRG00005003624.1)
Source: RNAcentral